Oncorhynchus masou masou (cherry salmon) is the source of this 1570-nucleotide long non-coding RNA. RefSeq lists it as uncharacterized. Lineage: Eukaryota; Metazoa; Chordata; Actinopteri; Salmoniformes; Salmonidae. The transcript has 2 exons. The record is from RefSeq and is a predicted model, not a curated record.
GGGGGCUUCGGCGAUAUGGAACGAGGUGAGGAAAAGAGGAACAGAAAGAAAUUGUCUUUAGAUACGCUGAUGUUUUCACAGGCUGGUGUUUUCUGUUCCCCCUUGAAGCUUGGGACCGCAGGUGGAAAAAUGUGCCGUUCCACCCUUGAGCAAGGAAAUUAACCCCCAACACAACUGCUCCCCGUGCGCUGAUGACGUGGACGUUGAUUAAGGCAGCACCCCGCACCUCUCUGAUUCAGAGGGGUUGGGUUAAAUGCAGAAGACACAGCUGAAUGCAUUCAGUUGUGCAACUGACUAGAACAAACAUGACGACAACGUCACUGGAUACGAAAACAACUAAUAAACAUCUAUGGCGAUAAUGUUUGUUGAUUUAGUUUAUAUUAGACAUAUAUGACAGAAAUACAUAUUUAUAACCUGGUCCCAGAUCUGUUUGUGUUGUCUUGCCAAUGGCCAGACAUAGAGUUGGAAAGACGGCACAAGUAGACCUUGGACUCGGAUAGCACAUACUCUUCAAUCAGUAUUUAUUAAAUAAUACAUUGUAGAUUGUAGCUACCAUGGCAAUUUAUUCUGUAAUAUUUAUUCUGUAAUAGGUAGCAAAUUAAGUUGAUCCCAAUUCUAUAAUGUAUGCUACCAGCUCUACUGUAUGCCAAUCUAUGCUAGCUACUGCUUUGCUACUAUGCUAUCUAUCUCUAAGCUAAGCUACCCUAUGCUAGCUGGCUCUAUGCCACAGGCUGAUUAUCAAGAGGGCUUUGGGGGGGGGGGGCUAACAGUUGUGACCCAGUCUGCAUGACUGCAGCUGUUGCCGCUAAAGCCCCCCUUUGUCUCCCAUAGUGUGUGUGUGUGAGUGACAGAGUCCCGUCAGGCAUACAUGCUAAUCAAGGUGCUAAAUUUAGACUUUGCACCAUCCGGCCAGAACAGGACAUUUGUUGUGUUUCAAAUGUACAGACAUUUACCCCACAGGGCCAGUUAGUGUGAUUGGUAUGUAAGUUAUGUAGCUGUCUGAAGCCAUAGUUACUCAUCUGUAGGAUCUAUAUAGUCCUCUUUCACUGCACAGAGAACAAGAAGGACAUCCCAGACAGAUAGAGGGGGGAAAUCCUUUUGAGAGGCACUUGAUUUGUUACCAUUCAGAAAACGUGUUUGGUUAUAUUUGGGUAUAUUUUUAAAACUAGCUUCACUUUACCUCUGACCCCCACCAACCCCCCCCCCCUCCACACUCGUACAAAACUCUAUUCCAUCCAUGAUUGGCAGGUCCAUACCUCUGUUUGGCGUACGCUCCCACGAUAGGUGACAGCAGCUGCCCAUCCUUGGCAGACACUUGCAUGUAGUACUGCGGCUCUCCAUUGGCCGGACUGCUCUGCUCUUCCAUUGCUUUUCCUGGGAGGUCAGGCUCUGUUGGGUAGUCCAGGCUACCCAUUGGAUCAAAGUCCCUGUCGCUCAAGCAACUCCCUGUGUGGGCAGAGUCAGAACGCUCUGGCAGCACCUCCGGCAACAGAGUGCAGCGACUGGUCGUCAUGGCAGCAGACGGUUAUCUUUCAUUGGCGUCUGGCUUGGUUACUGAGCAUCAUCUGUC